This 253-nucleotide ribosomal RNA is filed under the name uncultured bacterium. Its description in RNAcentral is "partial 16S ribosomal RNA". It matches the Rfam family "Bacterial small subunit ribosomal RNA", at positions 524 to 776 of the family's 1533-position model. The record is from RNAcentral.
UACGGGGGGGGCAAGCGUUGUUCGGAAUUACUGGGCGUAAAGGGUCUGUAGGUGGCUUGCUAAGUCAGACGUGAAAUCCCUCGGCUUAACCGGGGAACUGCGUCUGAUACUGGAAGGCUUGAGUUCGGGAGAGGAAUGUGGAAUUCCAGGUGUAGCGGUGAAAUGCGUAGAUAUCUGGAGGAACACCGGUGGCGAAGGCGGCAUUCUGGACCGAAACUGACGCUGAGGCGCGAAAGCCAGGGGAGCAAACGGG